This 590-nucleotide long non-coding RNA is filed under the name Manihot esculenta (cassava). RNAcentral's name for it is "long non-coding RNA (MESC_LNC000498)". The record is from RNAcentral. Lineage: Eukaryota; Viridiplantae; Streptophyta; Magnoliopsida; Malpighiales; Euphorbiaceae.
AACAAUUAAAAGAAGCAAAUCUUGAAGUUGUAUCUUCACCAGAAGUUUCAGGUUCAGGUCAGGAGCCUAUGAGAAUAACGAAAUCAUCUGGGGGCUCUGAUCGUAAGAGGAUUCCGUCGUCCCUUUUUGCCAGUAAGCCUGGAACGUCAUUGGAAUGGAGUGUUACUUCAAAUGAAUCACUGUUUAGUAUUCACAUGGGAAAUAACAGCUUCUCAAAUUAUCAAGCUUUCAUGCUAUACAAAUCCGGAGAACUUACCAAGCUCGACGAUAUGCACAAUACCCCACCAAGCUUGCUUCCUGUCCUCGUAGAGCAGACUCUAGAAAAGAAGAUGGAGGAAAUGAACAAGGGCUCAAAAGUGGCAGAAGAAAAACCAGUUGAACCUGCAAAAAUGGAACCUGAAUUCUCAGUCAAUAACAGCAAGACAAUUCCAGAGGAAACUAAGAAAAAUGUCUGUCAGGAAAAGGCCACUCCUGAUGACCUCAGGAACUCAUCCAGCAGGACUCAUUCUUUUCAUUUCCCAGCGUAAUUAAGUUACCCAAGUUUCUUGCUUUCCAUCUGCCAAUGUUUUCUUGAAGCUAACACAUUUCUG